This 253-nucleotide ribosomal RNA is filed under the name uncultured bacterium. Its description in RNAcentral is "partial 16S ribosomal RNA". It matches the Rfam family "Bacterial small subunit ribosomal RNA", at positions 524 to 776 of the family's 1533-position model. The record is from RNAcentral.
UACGAAGGGGGCUAGCGUUGCUCGGAAUCACUGGGCGUAAAGCGCACGUAGGCGGAUUGUUAAGUCAGGGGUGAAAUCCUGGAGCUCAACUCCAGAACUGCCUUUGAUACUGGCGAUCUCGAGUCCGGGAGAGGUGAGUGGAGCUGCGAGUGUAGAGGUGAAAUUCGUAGAUAUUCGCAAGAACACCAGUGGCGAAGGCGGCUCACUGGCCUGGUACUGACGCUGAGGUGCGAAAGCGUGGGGAGCAAACAGG